UGCCCAGCAACUCCUAUCCCUACCUCCUCGCGGUACUGGCCGGGGUACGAGUAACCUUAGGGAAGAUCGGGUAACCAAACCCCGAUGGGAACUUUGGUCGUAUGCUGACAGAGAAGG
RNAcentral lists this ribozyme (117 nucleotides) under Aedes aegypti (yellow fever mosquito). RNAcentral describes it as "drz-agam-1 ribozyme". It matches the Rfam family "drz-agam-1 ribozyme". The record is from Rfam by way of RNAcentral. Lineage: Eukaryota; Metazoa; Arthropoda; Insecta; Diptera; Culicidae.